CGGUUCUUGUGUCUGAUUAAAGGGCAAUGAAACAUGGCUCAGCUAUCUAGGAAAUAGUGGGGAAACGAUUGGCGUUAUUUUAUAAUUAACACAGCAAUCAACGUUAGUCCAGCAGGUUACAAUGGUGCAUGCAAUGCUGAAGUGAUCAUUAUAUUUAUCGUAGCUGAUCUGUAGGGACUGUGCAUUGUGAGGUCUAACAAACCGCCGUUUGGACCGCCUGUGGCUGUGAUCGGCGUUGAUCAGCGCUCUGUAGCUUGUUGCAGCGACUAGGGAGAGGGCGAGCGCGAAAGGGAGGGGAAAGAGAGAGGCCGGCGGAAACGGAGGGGAGUGGAGUUUUCAGUUUCACCAUAAACAGGCAAUUGAGGAGACGGUAACGAAUUACAUUUUUAACUUGUUGCAAAAAUCGUUUUUAAAAAUUGUAGCUAGCAAGCUGGAAUACCGACAGUCCCGGCGAGGGGAGUCGAUGGCUUAGCAAAGCUAGGCAGGCAUCCGUCGAAUAUGCAUGUGACAGAUAGUGCGACACCGGUAUGAUACUAGCUGGUGAAUACCGUGGAUUGUGGAGACUCAUUCGCAUGGUCCCAGAAUAUGAAGACGACAAUGGAUUCGUGGUUUGUCGUUCCUCCUUGGAUAACCACCUAGAAAUGACCGGGAGCACACGUGCAUUGUAAGGUCUUAGCGACGGACCACCGAAAUUCGUUUCAAGGUAACAGCUAUGUGUACUCUGCGAGGAUAGAACCAGGCAUUAGGCUCUUUAUCGGGAACGAGCGUGGAGGGGCGUUGUGGGAAUGGCACGCUUUAGUUGAACUCAAGACUUUGAUCGCCUUGUUCUCUUUUUGUUUCGUAUAAAGCCGGCAGGCUAUUUUGUGAGCCUAUGUACAAACAAAACAGCCACGCCACGCCAAACGUGUCACUCGAGGGGGGUAGCUUUUCUGAGCUGUCUUGAGUGCUCCAUUUUAUACAGUUCCGUAGAUUUAUGCUAAGCUAACUGGCUAGCUCGGGUCAAGCUCGUGCACACUCAUGAAGGAGUACAAAGUAGUCGUUCUUGGAAGCGGCGGCGUCGGCAAGUCCGCGCUGACUGUCCAGUUUGUCACGGGUACUUUUAUCGAGAAAUACGACCCGACAAUUGAGGAUUUCUAUCGGAAAGAGAUCGAGGUGGACUCGUCGCCUUCCGUGCUGGAGAUCCUCGACACGGCAGGCACGGAACAGUUCGCCUCCAUGAGAGAUCUGUACAUCAAGAACGGCCAAGGCUUCAUUCUGGUCUACAGUCUCGUCAACCAGCAGUCAUUUCAGGACAUCCGACCAAUGCGAGACCAGAUCGUGCGAGUGAAGCGCUUCGAGAAGGUGCCCCUCAUCCUGGUGGGGAACAAGGUGGACCUGGAGUCGGAGCGCGAGGUGUCGGGCUCGGACGGCCGGGCGCUGGCCCAGGAGUGGGGCUGCCCCUUCAUUGAGACCUCUGCCAAGAGCAAGACCAUGGUGGACGAGCUGUUCGCCGAGAUCGUGCGGCAGAUGAACUACGCCACUCUGCCCGAGAAACAGGAGCAGUGCUGCACCGCUUGCGUGGUCCAGUGAGGCCUGGGGCCCGCAUCUCUCAGUACCUCCAGAAGGCACACAGACACUCAUCCAGAUACAUACAGCAGACACGUUACCUGGCCGGACAUCCUUCACUCAGUGUCUCUGCUUUGAUGACUUAAGACCACCCCCCCCCCCCACCUCCUGCCCCUAAACCACACCUGGGACACCCAGCCCUUUCGCCGCUGAACUGGGGGUCGGAGGGCGGCUUUCCCUGUUUGAACAGAAGGGGGGGGGGGGCCUUUGAGCCCCCUUCAUCGGCGAACCUCUUGACCCCUGGAAUGCACACACAUCUGCUGGUUUGACCAAUAAGGAGCCCCCUGGUGAUGCUGGGAGAACACACAGAGAAGACAGAGACUUGUGAUGGGGGGGAGGGGUGGAUGGGAGGUGGGGGAUGGUAUUGGUAUUGCAGGGUUACGGAAAUGGGGGGGGGGUGCGGUUGAGGGUUCGCUCAGGACCGCGUCCGUGAAGGUGCUUGUUCGGCAUAUCCCCUGCUUUAAAUUUCAUGGCCUCUCUUCAAUCUAAGCACAAUGUGCUUUGCCCUUAAAACCGAGUAACUCCACUAAGCAAUUAAAUUUGUAAAAGAGAAAAAUUGUAAAAUAUAUUUCUUGUUGAUUUCAGUAACUGGCAGAACACGUGAUAUUAUUAAGUAUCAGAAAAUUUGAGCUGCUUGUAGUAAAUACUCAAAGUUAAGGACGGGGCGCAUUGCAGUUAGAGUGAUCAGAGGCCCCAGUUUUAAUCUUUAUGAUUGGUUCUUUGUAUCUUUGAUUACGCGGUGGCUGUCGUGUAAGAUGGACCCCUGACCUAUCUAACUUCAUUUUAUUUGAUUAUUUUUGGUCAUUGUUUUACUAUGCUUUUUCUGUCAAUAAUCUAUUUAUUAAAACCUUAAUUACAGUGUUAGAUACUUAAUGCCUUUUUAUUUUAUUUUAUACUCUAUGAUGUGUUUUUGCUUUGGUGACUACAGUAUAUAUGGUUUUAAAUGGAGAAUUAAUUGAGCCUUAAAUGAUUUCAGUCUUAA
Molecule: RNA transcript, 2587 nt
Organism: Anguilla rostrata (American eel)
Lineage: Eukaryota; Metazoa; Chordata; Actinopteri; Anguilliformes; Anguillidae
Gene: rap2c
Gene name: RAP2C, member of RAS oncogene family
Exons: 4
Source: RefSeq, a predicted model, not a curated record